Molecule: long non-coding RNA, 90 nt
Organism: Ipomoea nil (Japanese morning glory)
Lineage: Eukaryota; Viridiplantae; Streptophyta; Magnoliopsida; Solanales; Convolvulaceae
Exons: 3
Source: RefSeq, a predicted model, not a curated record
GACCACAAUGAAUUUAUAUUAAGGAGGUCAAAAUACAAUUGAAAAAAUUCCAUGUACAUUAACAUCAUAAACGCAACAGUUUUCUAGGUA